UCCUGUCCCCCUCCACAUCUGUACCCCCUUCAAUGUCCCAGGUGGGACAACUCCUGUGGUCAGGCAACCGGCUUGGAUGACAUCCGCAAUAUUUCAGAGGCUGCUUUACCCCUUGCUCCCUGCCCUGAGCAUGGAGGGACAGGCAGACACAAUCCAGGCAGUCUCCAAAGUCAUCCCUGCCCGGGGGUGACUUCCUGCAGAGGACAAGAGAAGAAACCAGUUUGCUGCCCAGAGCAAACAGGCCAGGGAGGAGACAUCUGGGCUGCAGGCCCACAGUGUGCUGCAAAGAGUUGCGUUUGAAGCCUUUUCUCUUCAGGCAGAAGAGUCUGCCUGUGCUGAGGAAGUUGUUGGGAGGUUUACUGCCUCCGAGAGGUGAUGGUGGCCUGUGUGGGAGUAGGGGAUGCAGCUGCUGGGAGAAGAGGCUGCUGAAACACCAAAGCCUCAGCAAAGAGUUCAAGGAGAAAGCGGGCUCAGGAAGGCAGGAUUUGUCAGCUGUUUCCUGGGCUUGGGAAUUCCUAUGAUGCUGACUUCAGGAGGGCCCUGUGUUUCCCUGUGGCAUUCCCUGCCACUGCUUGCCUCCCCCUGUACAGGAUCCUUGGCCAGAGAUUGGGUUUCUGUAGCUAUGACUCCUGUUUUCUUCUGGUGUUUGUUCCAGACAACACUGUGCCAGUGAUACUGGAGGCUCAUGAGAUCAGGUGGCUUUGUGAGGAGCUGGACAGCCCAGACCCUGACAAUCUGGUGAAAAGCAGUAUCAAAAUAACAAAGGCUGUUUGCAAAUGCAUCCCUUCAGCACAGGCUGUGGAUUUCCUGAGAGCCAUCUUGGACAGCCCACUGCAUGUCACCACAGCCCCAGAGAUGUCAAUGUCAUGAAAAUGGGUGUUUGUUUUCCUGAAGGAACGUGGAAAGGACAUACUCGGAGAGGUGCCAGAAUUCCUGAGCACCCUGUACACCUACAGGCAGAGGG
Long non-coding RNA from Pezoporus occidentalis (night parrot), 964 nucleotides. RefSeq lists it as uncharacterized. Lineage: Eukaryota; Metazoa; Chordata; Aves; Psittaciformes; Psittacidae. The record is from RefSeq and is a predicted model, not a curated record. The transcript is spliced from 3 exons.